GAAGCGAAGCGGUGACGUGGAGCAAACCUCAGAAAGCCAAUCUCAGUUCGGAUUGUAGGCUGCAACUCGCCUACAUGAAGUUGGAAUCNCUAGUAAUCGCGAAUCAGAAUGUCGCGGUGAAUACGUUCCCGGGUCUUGUACACACCGCCCGUCACACCACGAGAGUUUACAACACCCGAAGUCAGUGGCCUAACCGCAAGGAGGGAGCUGCCUAAGGUGGGGUAGAUGAUUGGGGUGAAGUCGUAACAAGGUAAC
RNAcentral lists this ribosomal RNA (255 nucleotides) under uncultured bacterium. RNAcentral's name for it is "partial 16S ribosomal RNA". It matches the Rfam family "Bacterial small subunit ribosomal RNA", at positions 1246 to 1500 of the family's 1533-position model. The record is from RNAcentral.